This 253-nucleotide ribosomal RNA is filed under the name uncultured bacterium. RNAcentral's name for it is "partial 16S ribosomal RNA". It matches the Rfam family "Bacterial small subunit ribosomal RNA", at positions 524 to 776 of the family's 1533-position model. The record is from RNAcentral.
UACGUAGGGUGCGAGCGUUAAUCGGAAUUACUGGGCGUAAAGCGUGCGCAGGCGGUUCGUUGUGUCGGUGGUGAAAGCCCCGGGCUUAACCUGGGAAUGGCCAUGGAAACUGGCGAACUGGAGUGUGGCAGAGGGGGGUGGAAUUCCGCGUGUAGCAGUGAAAUGCGUAGAGAUGCGGAGGAACACCGAUGGCGAAGGCAGCCCCCUGGGCUAACACUGACGCUCAGGCACGAAAGCGUGGGGAGCGAACAGG